This 252-nucleotide ribosomal RNA is filed under the name uncultured bacterium. RNAcentral's name for it is "partial 16S ribosomal RNA". It matches the Rfam family "Bacterial small subunit ribosomal RNA", at positions 524 to 776 of the family's 1533-position model. The record is from RNAcentral.
UACGGAGGAUCCGAGCGUUAUCCGGAUUUAUUGGGUUUAAGGGUGCGUAGGCGGCCUAUUAAGUCAGGGGUGAAAGACGGUAGCUUAACUAUCGCAGUGCCUUUGAUACUGAUAGGCUUGAAUGUACUUGAGGUAGGCGGAAUGUGACAAGUAGCGGUGAAAUGCAUAGAUAUGUCACAGAACACCAAUUGCGAAGGCAGCUUACUAAAGUAUGAUUGACGCUGAGGCACGAAAGCGUGGGGAUCAAACAGG